UUAGACAAUUCACAAGGCAUUUAUUUUUUCUAUUCUUAAUUUAUCAUUUUUAAUUAUUUCAUUACUGAUGGAUUUGUUUAUUUUUUGCCUUUUUAUGAAGAAUAUUGACAUUGCACUAUAUUAUCUGAGAAAGAAGAAAUGCUACCACCCUCGCGAUCAUCCUUUUAAAUGCACAACUAUUGACAUUCUUUUUGAUAACUACAUGGCCCUUGUGUAUAAGGAUUUUAGUGAAGAUGCUAGUGAUGAGUUUUGGUGUGCUACUAAUGACCAGUUUUUUCUAACACCAUAUGUGGGGGGGAGGGGGGGGACAGCCGCAGAUGUGGGAUUGCUUAGAUUGACUUUUGGUGUGCUACUGAUGACCAGUUUUUUCUAACACCAUAUGUGUGGGGGGACAGCCGCAGAUGUGGGAUUGCUUAGACUGAGGUUGAUAAAAUCUUUUUCCCAUGUCGGAUUCCUUCAGAAGAUAACAAAGUUGUGACACAUUUUCUGUUGGGAGUUUUGGACUUGAAUCUAAAAAAGAUUGAUGUAUAUGAUUCCAUAUACAUUGAUCCGUAUGAAGCUGGAAUGAACUAUAUGGAAAUGUAUGUGCGCAUGUUCCCCCACAUGCUAAGGUUUGCACAGUUUGACAAGCAUCAUAAGUGUUUUGGGAAUGUCUUCAACAAGUUUGAUAUACAAUGGCAAAGAUCACCACACCAAACUUGGAUCGUACGUAUUUUUAUUCGUUUUUGUAUUUAUACGAACAUAAUAUUUUGUUGUUUAAUUCAUUGCAUAUCUUUCUCUUAUUUUAG
Molecule: long non-coding RNA, 788 nt
Filed under: Nicotiana benthamiana
Lineage: Eukaryota; Viridiplantae; Streptophyta; Magnoliopsida; Solanales; Solanaceae
Description: long non-coding RNA (NBEN_LNC016310)
Source: RNAcentral